UAACUGCUUGUUACCGUUUGACUUUGAUUCCUUAACUAAAGGGGAUUCCUUAUGCUGAUUUGAUUAGGAUUGAUACCCAGUUUAUUAAUUAUAGACUUCCACCUUGUUUGUUUACUCGUUUCUGUAUUAUAAGUACCCCCCAUUCUCUUUUGCAUAGGACACCAACACAUUGCAUAUCUCUCUCACACAAAGGCACAAAUUCAAUCUCUCUAAACUCUCUUUCAAAACACUCAGUGUUGUCUCCCUUUCUCUAUUGUUUCUAUGCAAACUCUCUCAUUCUUCUAUUGAAUACUCAAUCGGCUGAAAGCCAAGAUUGAGCAAUCUUGGCUGUUUAUUUCUACUACUGGGGUUCUACUACAUUGUUUGUUUAGGUUUGCCUGCUGCCUACUUCUCUGCACGCUACUGCUCUCACUCUCUACACACUCUCUGCACACUCUCUGCACACUCUGCUCUCCUUUGUGCAUUAUUUCUCAUUACUAGUGUGUAGCAUUAGCUGCAACUGGUAUGUCACCUAUUUAAGUUACAGCUUUCAAAACAACAUGCUUAUACUAGUUUUACACUUCACCCUAUUUCUUGUGUGUUUUUGUUUUUGGUUAUGUUAUUCUCAUUGCCAAUAACAUGUACUUAUUAGUUUGCCUAGCUUGACUUAGCAUGUUCACUACCCCUCCCUAUCUCAAUAUAUGUUUUUCCUCAUUCCUAUGCACUAUCUAGCAUGUAUUCAGGCAUGCUUGGUUACUUAACAGUCCUGAAACCUCUUCUUGAGUAUAAUUAUAUUUGGAGUUUGGUACAGUAAGAACUGAACUCCUUGUCUGUAGCCAUGUUUUUUUCCUUGAUGUGUUGUACAUGUGAAUGGUUUACUUGCUUAUUUGUUCCCUUCCCCUUUGCCCCUGCUUGUGUGAUUCUCUUGUUUUCAAACUGGUCAGGCCAAAUGAAUUUCACAAGAUUCUUUCAACUCUUCUUACUGUUUUCCUCUUAAACUGUCUCUCAACUGUUUUCAACUCUUUCAACUCUAUCACAAUCUCACUACUCUUAAAACUUAGGUUCUGCCCCCUUAGUGUAAGCAUUGCCUUGGAGCCUUGAGCACCCACUGAACUUUGAUGCACAAGGCUGACACUUCUACACUUGCACUUGUCAAUAAUGAUAUAUUCUGGGUGCUUGGUAUUGGCCAGGGGUUCAAACAAACCCUUUAGGGAACUUUGCCGUAUCCAAACCUUUGUAAAGGCUGUGAAACUUGAAAGAGGUGAGGUUGGAGAUUUUGGGGUUGGCUGUAGGCUCCCUAUAUAAUAACUUCUUAUUUUUUAUUACUGUUGUAUUUUUAAUCAUUUGGGCUGUAAUAAUUUCUAAAGAAUAGUGGGUAUGUAGUGAAUUUGGGAGGGUUAUGCAUGCUUAGUUGAGGGAAUGGGUAGAAAACAUGUU
RNAcentral lists this long non-coding RNA (1416 nucleotides) under Nicotiana benthamiana. RNAcentral describes it as "long non-coding RNA (NBEN_LNC014365)". The record is from RNAcentral. Lineage: Eukaryota; Viridiplantae; Streptophyta; Magnoliopsida; Solanales; Solanaceae.